CAUACAUGCAAGUCGAGGGGCAGCGGAACAUUUCGGUGUUGCCGGCGACCGGCGGACGGGUGCGUAAUAUGUAUGCAAUUUGCUUUACACUGGGGCAUAGCUUCCGGAAAUGGAAAUUAAUUCCCCAUAUAAUCUUAUUAACGCAUGUUAGAAAGAUGAAAGCUCUGGCGGUGUAAAAUGAGCAUACUUCCUAUUAGCUAGUUGGAGAGGUAAUGGCUCACCAAGGCAAUGAUGGGUAGGGGUUCUUAGUGGAAGGUCCCCCACACUGGCACUGAGAUACGGGCCAGACUCCUACGGGAGGCAGCAGUAGGGAAUAUUGGUCAAUGGGCGCAAGCCUGAACCAGCUAUGCCGCGUGCAGGAUGAAGGCUCUCUGAGUCGUAAACUGCUUUUGUACAGGAACAAAAAAAUCUCUGCGGGGAUUCUUGAGGGUACUGUAAGAAUAAGCGCCGGCUAAUUCCGUGCCAGCAGCCGCGGUAAUACGGAAGGCGCAAGCGUUAUCCGGUUUUAUUGGGUUUAAUGGGUGCGUAGGCGGCUUAUUAAGUCAGUUGUGAAAUCCUAGUGCUUAACGCUAGAACUGCGAUUGAUACUGGUAGGCUUGAGUUAAGAAGAGGUAGGCAGAAUUUAUGGUGUGUAGUGAAAUGCUUUGAUAUCAUAAGGAAUGCCAA
This 666-nucleotide ribosomal RNA is filed under the name Candidatus Cardinium sp. Its description in RNAcentral is "bacterial SSU rRNA". It matches the Rfam family "Bacterial small subunit ribosomal RNA", at positions 50 to 712 of the family's 1533-position model. The record is from RNAcentral. Lineage: Bacteria; Pseudomonadati; Bacteroidota; Cytophagia; Cytophagales; Amoebophilaceae.